GAGCACAGAUGUCAGUGCUAGAUUUCUAUGGCUCAAAUCCUAUCUCUGCUGCUCAAUAGCUGUGUGACCUUGGGCAAGUUGCUCCACGUCUCUGUGCCUUGAUCUCUCCAUGGAAGGGAUAAAAGCAACACCUAUCUCAUAGGGUCUUUUACAAGGAUUAAAGGAGUUAAGAUAUGUGAAAGCACUGUGCCUGGCCAAAGGAAGGUGGUGAAGGUGGGGUGGGGGAACUGCCUGGAAACUGCCAGAAAGAAGUUGCCUCACAAGAAUGAAAGGACAACUUCAAACAUGCUGGCAGAAACGCAUCAAACGUCAGCCAUGAAGCAACCCUCCAGGUCAUGCCAGCAGCCAACCUGUCGCGGGCUGUGGAAACCAAUGACCAAAGAAAGAAGGAAGCACACCUGAGCCAGCUUGCUCUCGAGCUGCAAUAUGCAAAUGAAGGCACAGGAUCAUUCUGUAGAUCCAGAUCCUUCUGAGGUGGCUUCGUUAAUCAAAGAGAAUGAACUUGCCAGAGACAAGAGAACAGUGCUGCAGCCAAGCAAAGAACAGUAGCUGUGCUUCUAAACUAGACUCUCCAAAGAGCCCAUGAACAUUUUCUAGACCAGCAUCCCAUCUCAUUCAGCCCUUCCUCCCUCUCAGAGUUUCCAGAUGUUUUACCAUCCUGAGGUCCAGCAUUAGCCAAUGGUCUUAAAAGGGACGCCUAGCAAAGAAAGGAAUAUGGGAGGUAUGGUCUGGUAGGGUGCCCUUUUCUGGGCAGUGUACUUCUGGAUGGUUGGAUGUUGAGACACUCACCUAUCUCCUAACUAUACUUUAACAUUUCCUGAACAUCUUUUGAAAAUCAUUAUUUUCAUGAUGUACAUUAUGUAAAAUAGUACAACCACUUUGGAAAACAAUUUGGCAUAGUAAAGCUGACCCAGCAAUUCCAUUUUCAGGUAUAUUCUCUAUAGAAUCUCUUGCAAAUACACAUGUAAAACAAUGUACAUAGUAAC
Bos taurus (domestic cattle) is the source of this 986-nucleotide long non-coding RNA. The record is from Ensembl. NCBI's taxonomy places the organism in Eukaryota, Metazoa, Chordata, Mammalia, Artiodactyla, Bovidae.